Molecule: non-coding RNA, 90 nt
Organism: Podarcis lilfordi (Lilford's wall lizard)
Lineage: Eukaryota; Metazoa; Chordata; Lepidosauria; Squamata; Lacertidae
Source: the annotation of a GenBank genome assembly
CCUUAGAGACCAACUUAGUUUGUUCUUGGUAUAAGCUUUUGUGUGCACAUGAAAGCUUAUACCAAGAACAAACUUAGUUGGUCUCUAAGG